RNAcentral lists this ribosomal RNA (253 nucleotides) under uncultured bacterium. RNAcentral describes it as "partial 16S ribosomal RNA". It matches the Rfam family "Bacterial small subunit ribosomal RNA", at positions 524 to 776 of the family's 1533-position model. The record is from RNAcentral.
GACGUAGGGCGCGAGCGUUGUCCGGAUUUAUUGGGCGUAAAGAGCUCGUAGGCGGCUUGUCGCGUCGUCCGUGAAAACUUGGGGCUCAACCCCAAGCUUGCGGUCGAUACGGGCAGGCUAGAGUUCGGUAGGGGAGACUGGAAUUCCUGGUGUAGCGGUGAAAUGCGCAGAUAUCAGGAGGAACACCGGUGGCGAAGGCGGGUCUCUGGGCCGUAACUGACGCUGAGGAGCGAAAGCAUGGGGAGCGAACAGG